RNAcentral lists this unclassified non-coding RNA (223 nucleotides) under uncultured fungus. RNAcentral's name for it is "sequence contains ITS1, 5.8S rRNA gene". The stretch from base 175 to 223 matches the Rfam family "5.8S ribosomal RNA", at positions 1 to 49 of the family's 154-position model. The record is from RNAcentral. Lineage: Eukaryota; Fungi.
UUUCCGUAGGUGAACCUGCGGAAGGAUCAUUACCGUUGGGGCUCCGGCCCCAAUCAAGAUACCACCCCUUGCAUUUUGAGCACCUUCUGUUUCCUCGGCGGGCCCGCCCGCCAACGGGGACCACACCAAACCCUUCUGUACUGCAGUAAGCGUCUGAAAACAAACAAAAAUCAAAACUUUCAACAACGGAUCUCUUGGUUCUGGCAUCGAUGAAGAACGCAGC